AUCAACGAGAAAAGACUGAGAUUCGAAAAGACAAAGAAAAUUUUCAACAUAAUCAAAAUGCCGUUUUUCUCGAUGGACACAACGGACAUAAUUCGCAUGGCAGGAGCAUCGACGGUCAUGGAAAGGUGGACAAGAAGAAAAAAAAGGGCCUUUUAAUACUUUGUUAACAUAAACAUUAAAAUGAAUGACACUAAUACUCUCGCACCACUAAUAUCUAAUUAUAAAUGGCCAUAUCUACCCUGUCGUAUUCAACGUUGGGGAACUAUUAAUAGGAUUACGCUUAAAUAUAUAUAGACAUAUUUCUGUUAAGAACUUCGAGUUUAAUUUGGCAAGCGUUGUUUGGUUGGAAUGUUUAUAAUUUUAUUCGUGAGGAAAUAUCCUGACGAAAACAAUAUAUGUAGCUAGCUUGCGGUGUUCGUUUAAUGCACAUAGCGAUAAAUCGCCUUUUCUCUAUAUCAUAGACAAAACAUGUAUAUUCCUUUUAUUUUACAUCGCACAUUCUGAGUGUAGCGUGCUUUUAUAAUUAUUUUGUGUGUGAUAAUUUAUAUGUUUCACGCUUGCCAAAUUUGAUAUCACGUAUAAGAAAUAGUUCAUCUUACUUGUAUUAUGAUGUAUGAAUGCGGGCCAUCAGCCAGAGAGAUAGACGGGUGUAAAGUUGCGUUGUGUUGUGUCUUGACACUGAACGUUAACAUAUUUUGAAACAGCAUCAAUAACCAUUACGACUAAGAGAAGAGAGAAGAACGGCUUAUUAAGUGGUGUAUUUUAAAAUCGUAGUUCAACAUAUUUUAAUAAACCAAAUUCAUAUUGAAGUAUGGACGUUUUCCACGCCAUAUAUAACAUAUAUCGUUCACAAACAUUGGCGUCGAUUAAGUUUACAAAAUUUUUCAACCUAACUUUGCAAUUUUACUAAUUUUAGGAAUUAAAAAAUCUCCUUCGUGA
Long non-coding RNA from Xenia sp. Carnegie-2017, 939 nucleotides. RefSeq lists it as uncharacterized. The record is from RefSeq and is a predicted model, not a curated record. NCBI's taxonomy places the organism in Eukaryota, Metazoa, Cnidaria, Anthozoa, Malacalcyonacea, Xeniidae. The transcript is spliced from 2 exons.